CCUGGCGGUACUAGCGCGGUGGUCCCACCUGACCCCAUGCCGAACUCAGAAGUGAAACGCCGUAGCGCCGAUGGUAGUGUGGGGUCUCCCCAUGCGAGAGUAGGGAACUGCCAGGC
This 116-nucleotide ribosomal RNA is filed under the name Salmonella enterica subsp. enterica serovar Infantis. The record is from RNAcentral. Lineage: Bacteria; Pseudomonadati; Pseudomonadota; Gammaproteobacteria; Enterobacterales; Enterobacteriaceae. RNAcentral also lists the same sequence under 6 other names.